RNAcentral lists this non-coding RNA (126 nucleotides) under Dethiosulfatibacter aminovorans. Its description in RNAcentral is "MoCo sequence". It matches the Rfam family "Molybdenum/Tungsten riboswitch aptamer (Moco RNA motif)". RNAcentral also lists the same sequence under 1 other name. The record is from RNAcentral. Lineage: Bacteria; Bacillati; Bacillota; Tissierellia.
AAUCAAAUAAAUCUCCGAUUCUUAUGUUCCGGCAGAAAACAUAGACAGAAUCAGGAAUAUAGGGACUAUGGGUAUUAAAAGUGAUUUUAUGCCUGCCGUGAUUGCAAAGGAGCUAUUCGAAUAUUU